This 394-nucleotide ribosomal RNA is filed under the name uncultured bacterium. RNAcentral's name for it is "partial 16S ribosomal RNA". It matches the Rfam family "Bacterial small subunit ribosomal RNA", at positions 523 to 917 of the family's 1533-position model. The record is from RNAcentral.
AUACGUAGGGUGCAAGCGUUAAUCGGAAUUACUGGGCGUAAAGCGUGCGCAGGCGGUUCGGAAAGAAGGAUGUGAAAUCCCAGGGCUCCACCUUGGAACUGCAUUCUUAACUACCGAACUAGAGUAUGUCAGAGGGGGGUAGAAUUCCGCGUGUAGCAGUGAAAUGCGUAGAUAUGCGGAGGAAUACCGAUGGCGAAGGCAGCCCCCUGGGAUAAUACUGACGCUCAUGCACGAAAGCGUGGGUAGCAAACAGGAUUAGAUACCCUGGUAGUCCACGCCCUAAACGAUGUCAACUAGCUGUUGGGCCCUUCGGGGCUUAGUAGCGUAGCUAACGCGUGAAGUUGACCGCCUGGGGAGUACGGUCGCAAGAUUAAAACUCAAAGGAAUUGACGGG